CUUGCUACUCAGGAGGAUGGAGUGUGGUACCCAUCGUCAGUCUGCUACAGCAGCACCACAUCAUCCAUCAUUGUGGGACAGUACUUGGACGGCAACAUCCUGGUGUUCAGAGUGGAAUAGUGUGUACAUUCGCUGCUGAGUCAGAACAAGGAUGCUGAGGAUGUGGUGGACAAGGAUGACAUGACUACGCAGAAGAUCCAUAAAUACACCAGGAAUGCGCCGUCUUGUGUAUUUCCUGUUUAUUAAGGAUGCAAAAAGAUGAGGUGGUAAAGAACAUAAUGAAUUUACAUAAGCAACUGCUAAGCACAGAAGACAACGGAGUAGUGAAAGGCUCAGCCAAAUCAAAGUCCAGCGAUGUGAGGGUGACACAGCCUUUCCAUGUCCUUGUAUUGCAACAUGAAGGACAUUUUAGCUGAAACUAACAAGGGAGAGAACUGUAGAUCUGCACCAGCACAGAGCACCAGCAUUGAUAUCGAGUUGGCCCAGCAACCGCACGAGUCCCGCCUGCAGGAGCCCCAGUCCAGAACGACCCUUCCCCUCCCCUGACUUCUAACUCCUCCCCCUUGACCUCCUGACUCAAAAAGUCAGCAUCGUUGAACAACUCCGUUCUGCAGAAAAUUCUGAGCAUGAUUCUGGUCUGAACAAACACAAUGCCCACGUCAAGUUGUCCACACAUAAGCCUGGGUAGUUCUGUUAAGCUAGAGUUCCGCGUGGGCCUGAGAGGGACGAGUUUUACAAACACGAAAAGUUAUAGCUGUAGUUAUGGUAACGCUAACAGUCAGUUGUUGCUGUUGGACAUCACAACAAAUAUCCUGAAGAAUAAAAAGUUCAAUAACUUGUUCCAAUCUUUAUGGGACAAACAGAAAUUGGACGGGAGAAAAUCAAGGAACAAUAAAAGCGUAAGCUUUCCUAGUGGGAUGCUUCUGCUGUUGAUAGUUUGGACGACAAUAGGGUUACGGACUGCCCCAGAUUGUCCUCUCAGCGGCCAAAAUAUCAUAAUAGAACGGACUUUUGGCAAUGUUACCGACAAAGAAAGGCAGUAAUGACUUGGUUGUGAAUACCCAGAGCACGAUACAUCCAUGCUGACACAAAAAGGCAGUUAUGACUUGGUGGUGAAAACCCAGAGCACGCUACAUCCUUGCUGACCAAGAAAUGCAGUAAUGACUUGGUUGUGAAUACCCAGAGCAUGCUACAUCCAUGCUGACACAGAAAGGCAGUAAUGACUAUGCUGUGAACACCCAGAGCAAGAUAUAUCCAUGCUGACACAGAAAGGAAGUAAUGACUAUGCUGUGAACACCCAGAGCAAGAUAUAUCCAUGCUGACACAGAAAGGCAGUAAUGACUAUGCUGUGAACACCCAGAGCAAGAUAUAUCAAUGCUGACACAGAAAGGAAGUAAUGACUAUGCUGUGAACACCCAGAGCAAGAUAUAUCCAUGCUGACACAAAAAGGCAGUAAUGACUAUGCUGUGAACACCCAGAGCAAGCUACAUCCAUGCUGACACAGAAAGGAAGUUAUGACUAUGAUGUAAACACCCAGAGCACAAUACAUCCAUGCUGACACAGAAAGGCAGUAAUGACUAUGCUGUGAACACCCAGAGCACGCUACAUCCAUGCUGACACAGAAAGGAAGUAAUGACUUUGCUGUGAACACCCAGAGCAAGAUAUAUCCAUGCUGACACAGAAAGGCAGUAAUGAUUAUGCUGUGAACUCCCAGAGCAAGAUAAAUCCAUGCUGACACAGAAAGGCAGUAAUGACUACGCUGUGAACACCCAGAGCACAAUACAUCCAUGCUGACACAGAAAGGCAGUAAUGACUUGGUUGUAAACACCCAGAGCACAAUACAUCAAUGUUGACUCAGAAAGGCAGUAAUGACUUGGUUGUGAACACAGAACACGAUACACCCAUGCUGACACAGAAAGGCAGUAAUUACUUGGCUGUGAACACAGAGCACAAUACAUCCAUGCGGAAACAGAAAGGCAGUCAUGACUAUGCUGUGAACACCCAGAGCACGAUAAAUCCAUGCUGACACAGAAAGACAGUAAAGACUUGGUUGUAAACACCCAGAGCACAAUACAUCCAUGAUGACACAGAAAGGCAGUAAAGACCUUGUUGUAAACACUAAGAGAUCCAUACAUCCAUGGGGUGUGCCACAGCCCGAAUUACGCCCACUAUUGUGAACAAGGUGCUUAAAGUGAACAUGUCUGGUUUUGGUAUGAGGACUUAGCACUCCAAGCCUAAAAGGCCUCGCAUUGAAUUGAUGCAAGAGAAGGAUUUGAAAAAUAACAGCAGUUUUGUUGUGUGGUCCAGUACGCCCUUCGACUCUCAACCUGAAGAAAGCAGAACUCAAACUCGGCUCUUAUCAAUAUCAGCAAGGCCAGCAUGUCAUAUCAGCUUCUUGAGCUUCAGAAAUUCAGCACGAAGACAUCUUGCGUCAGACUACCAAGCCUCCUAUCAAUAUCUCCUCCCAUGUUGGCUUCAUCAACACUUCCAACAGAGCCUUGGUGAGUUCGACUUCCAUCUCAGCAUCGAUGUCGCUUAGCAACAAUUGGAUGAUGGGCGUCGACAAAUUAGGCCGGACAAGUCGCUCAAACUGAAACGAUCUGAUCCAACAGGUAGAGCAGGCAUUGCGUGACACGUCCGUUAAUGUGACUGACCUCAUUAUGUUGUUCUCGAAUAAUGUGAACCUUAGGCCUGGAGAGCAGUUUGCGAUUGACGCCAUUCAACAACAGUUGUUGUUGGCAAUUCUCGGGUUUGGGGUGGCGACUUCGGCGUCAGGACUCGCUCCAUCUCUGUCCAUGGCCCAGUCGCAGCAGCAGCAACAAGAAAAAUAAAGCCUGUUCCUACAGGAACCUAUGCAAUCAUAGAUCGGUACCUAGCUGAACAACAGGCUGUAUGGUCAGCUGGUCCCAGACGCCCAGUGACACUUCCUGGCCCAGGACCUUGGGGCAAAUGCUCAACUAUACCUACCCGCAGAGUGGAGCCACUCUGAACCUGGGGCUCCAUACUUUCUUGGCCAGGGGCCAAGUUUACCUUGUCAAUAAGGUACAUGUAGGGACACAUUCCUUGGAUGCCCUAAGGUUUCUCUAUCUGUUCACAAAGGCUUUAUACUCACAAGUUCAAGCCCAGUGAGCGAUGUUCACAUUAUCA
This is a long non-coding RNA of Dreissena polymorpha, 3147 nucleotides long. RefSeq lists it as uncharacterized. The transcript has 8 exons. The record is from RefSeq and is a predicted model, not a curated record. Lineage: Eukaryota; Metazoa; Mollusca; Bivalvia; Myida; Dreissenidae.